GCCUCCGUAGCGCAAUCGGCUAGCGCGUUCGGCUGUUAACCGAAAGGUUGGUGGUUCAAGCCCACCCGGGGGCG
RNAcentral lists this transfer RNA (74 nucleotides) under Nephila pilipes (giant wood spider). It matches the Rfam family "tRNA". From Rfam's summary of the family: Transfer RNA (tRNA) molecules are approximately 80 nucleotides in length. The record is from Rfam by way of RNAcentral. Lineage: Eukaryota; Metazoa; Arthropoda; Arachnida; Araneae; Nephilidae.